AUCCAAAAACCCAUUGUUUGCAUAAUUGAACAGAAACGUUCCACUAUACAACUAAUUAAACCAGUCAUCAAUUCAAUUGUAACAAAGAAAGGAAUAGCGGAAGUAAAUAGCUAGGGUCACUUGUAUCUAAUAUAGACAACACAUAAUUAUAGAUUUUAAUCGAACAUAAAAUCGAUACUUAUCUCUUGAAGCGUGACCCGGAUAAUGCCCAGAAUUAGCGAAAUUCGUGUGUGCGAAUUACUCCUUAAUCUUCUCAAAGUGCUUCUUGAGACGGUAGAGUCUCGUGCUGAUAACGUGUUAUGAAAUAAUAUAAGAACAAGAACANN
Molecule: long non-coding RNA, 326 nt
Filed under: Nicotiana benthamiana
Lineage: Eukaryota; Viridiplantae; Streptophyta; Magnoliopsida; Solanales; Solanaceae
Description: long non-coding RNA (NBEN_LNC034976)
Source: RNAcentral